AUUGAACGCUGGCGGCAGGCCUAACACAUGCAAGUCGAGCGGUAACACAGGGAGCUUGCUCCUGGGUGACGAGCGGCGGACGGGUGAGUAAUGUCUGGGAAACUGCCUGAUGGAGGGGGAUAACUACUGGAAACGGUAGCUAAUACCGCAUAAUGUCGCACGACCAAAGCGGGGGACCUUCGGGCCUCUUGCCCUCAGACGUGACCAGAUGGGAUUAGCUAGUAGGUGGGGUAACGGCUCACCUAGGCGACGAUCCCUAGCUGGUCUGAGAGGAUGACCAGCCACACUGGAACUGAGACACGGUCCAGACUCCUACGGGAGGCAGCAGUGGGGAAUAUUGCACAAUGGGCGCAAGCCUGAUGCAGCCAUGCCGCGUGUAUGAAGAAGGCCUUCGGGUUGUAAAGUACUUUCAGCGGGGAGGAAGGCGAUAAGGUUAAUAACCUUGUCGAUUGACGUUACCCGCAGAAGAAGCACCGGCUAACUCCGUGCCAGCCGCCGCGGUAA
This 504-nucleotide ribosomal RNA is filed under the name uncultured bacterium. RNAcentral's name for it is "partial 16S ribosomal RNA". It matches the Rfam family "Bacterial small subunit ribosomal RNA", at positions 30 to 523 of the family's 1533-position model. The record is from RNAcentral.